Molecule: ribosomal RNA, 465 nt
Filed under: uncultured bacterium
Lineage: Bacteria
Description: bacterial SSU rRNA
Rfam family: Bacterial small subunit ribosomal RNA
Source: RNAcentral
AUUGAACGCUGGCGGAAUGCUUUACACAUGCAAGUCGAACGGUAGAGGGGGCAACCCCUUGAGAGUGGCGAACGGGUGAGUAAUAUAUCGGAACGUGCCCAGUCGUGGGGGAUAACGUAGCGAAAGUUACGCUAAUACCGCAUACGAUCUACGGAUGAAAGCGGGGGAUCGCAAGACCUCGCGCGAUUGGAGCGGCCGAUAUCAGAUUAGGUAGUUGGGUGAGGUAAAGGCUCACCAAGCCAACGAUCUGUAGCUGGUCUGAGAGGACGACCAGCCACACUGGAACUGAGACACGGUCCAGACUCCUACGGGAGGCAGCAGUGGGGAAUUUUGGACAAUGGGCGCAAGCCUGAUCCAGCAAUGCCGCGUGCAGGAUGAAGGCCUUCGGGUUGUAAACUGCCUUUUGUACGGAACGAAACGGCUCCUUCUAAUACAAGGGGCUAAUGACGGUACCGUAAGAAUAAG